AUGAAUCAGUGUAUGAUCCUCAACAAUGUCUGCCUAAAAAUGCCUAGCAACAGGCAACUUUUGUCUUGAGGAAUUUUUCUAGUUUCCAUUUAAAAUUCUUAAUUUGCAUUAUUAUAAUCUAUUAAUUAAAGCUGGUCAUUCUUCUAGAAUACCUAAUGUUAUCAGUUUCAUAAAUAAAGCCACAAUGAGUAAAAGGAUUUAUGGAUGCAGAAGAGGUAGAAGCCCUAAAUGCCAUGAGUGAUGGAGAGUCUGAUGGUGGUGAGACAGCGAUCCAGCCUCCGAGAAAAAUUAGACUGACUGAGUCUGUUCUUCAGGACAGGAUUGCUAUAGUACAGAGGGAUAUUCUCUCAAGUGUUACUCUUGUUCAUCUGCUUUGACGGGUUCCUGUAAAGCAACAGUGGAAACAUGUAAAGAUGGAUUUUCUGAAUGUGAAAGCAGUUUAUUUGAACAAUCAGCUGGUUCCACUAAGGUGUUCUUCACAACAAAAGGGUGUGCAAAUCAAUGUGAACCAGGGACCAAACAGUUAGCAAUUGGAGGGACAGUUUCAACCCGCUGCUGUGACACUGACCUUUGCAAUGCAGCAGAUGGAGUGUUUAAGGGAAGCUUCCUCCUGCUCUUCUCUCCUCUGCUCUUCUACUUCCUGUUUCAGUGAAUCCAGAUUCAAGACUUCAGAUUCUACAGUGAAGAUCAGCACAAAAACUGAAUAUGAGACACAACUGACUUAAUUUACUGAAUAAUGUUUGUUUGUUGCUCUUCUGUUCUUUGGUUUAAGGAACUGAAAGUAUGUAUUUUAUUAAAUGAAUAUUAAACAAAAUACUGCAUCAGCACUAACAGAUUAUGCAUAAAAUAAAAAUUAUUAUAGAAUGUAAUAAAGAAUUAAAGAAACUUUAAAAUGUAAUGUUUUAAAAAGAGUGAGAUAAACUGCUGUAAUAAAAUAUUUACUUACCUGU
RNA transcript from Megalobrama amblycephala (Wuchang bream), 950 nucleotides. It is a transcript of the gene named ly6/PLAUR domain-containing protein 2-like, with no coding region annotated. The record is from RefSeq and is a predicted model, not a curated record. NCBI's taxonomy places the organism in Eukaryota, Metazoa, Chordata, Actinopteri, Cypriniformes, Xenocyprididae. The transcript is spliced from 4 exons.